This 559-nucleotide ribosomal RNA is filed under the name uncultured bacterium. RNAcentral describes it as "bacterial SSU rRNA". It matches the Rfam family "Bacterial small subunit ribosomal RNA", at positions 338 to 916 of the family's 1533-position model. The record is from RNAcentral.
CCUACGGGAGGCAGCAGUGGGGAAUCUUGCGCAAUGGGCGAAAGCCUGACGCAGCCAUGCCGCGUGUAUGAUGAAGGUCUUAGGAUUGUAAAAUACUUUCACCGGUGAAGAUAAUGACUGUAGCCGGAGAAGAAGCCCCGGCUAACUUCGUGCCAGCAGCCGCGGUAAUACGAAGGGGGCUAGCGUUGCUCGGAAUUACUGGGCGUAAAGGGAGCGUAGGCGGACAUUUAAGUCAGAGGUGAAAUCCCGGAGCUUAACUUCGGAACUGCCUUUGAUACUGGGUGUCUUGAGUGUGAGAGAGGUAUGUGGAACUCCGAGUGUAGAGGUGAAAUUCGUAGAUAUUCGGAAGAACACCAGUGGCGAAGGCGACAUACUGGCUCAUUACUGACGCUGAGGCUCGAAAGCGUGGGGAGCAAACAGGAUUAGAUACCCUGGUAGUCCACGCCGUAAACGAUGAUUGCUAGUUGUCGGGAAGCUUGCUUCUCGGUGACGCAGCUAACGCAUUAAGCAAUCCGCCUGGGGAGUACGGUCGCAAGAUUAAAACUCAAAGGAUUGACGG